RNAcentral lists this transfer RNA (73 nucleotides) under Rouxiella aceris. RNAcentral's name for it is "tRNA-Lys". It matches the Rfam family "tRNA". From Rfam's summary of the family: Transfer RNA (tRNA) molecules are approximately 80 nucleotides in length. The record is from RNAcentral. Lineage: Bacteria; Pseudomonadati; Pseudomonadota; Gammaproteobacteria; Enterobacterales; Yersiniaceae.
GGGUCGUUAGCUCAGUUGGUAGAGCAGUUGACUUUUAAUCAAUUGGUCGCAGGUUCGAAUCCCGCACGACCCC